RNAcentral lists this transfer RNA (80 nucleotides) under Podarcis lilfordi (Lilford's wall lizard). RNAcentral describes it as "tRNA.Leu". It matches the Rfam family "tRNA". Rfam says of the family: Transfer RNA (tRNA) molecules are approximately 80 nucleotides in length. The record is from RNAcentral. Lineage: Eukaryota; Metazoa; Chordata; Lepidosauria; Squamata; Lacertidae.
GCCUGAAUAGCUCAGUUGGUUAGAGCAUGGUGCUGAGAAUGCCAAGGUUGCAGGUUCAAUCCCCAUAUACGCCAGCUGCA